UACGGAGGGGGCUAGCGUUGUUCGGAAUUACUGGGCGUAAAGCGCGCGUAGGCGGACCUGCAAGUCGGGGGUGAAAGCCCGAGGCUCAACCUCGGAACUGCCUUCGAUACUGCGGGUCUCGAGUCCGGGAGAGGUGAGUGGAAUUCCUAGUGUAGAGGUGAAAUUCGUAGAUAUUAGGAAGAACACCAGUGGCGAAGGCGGCUCACUGGCUCGGUACUGACGCUGAGGAGCGAAAGCGUGGGGAGCGAACAGG
Molecule: ribosomal RNA, 253 nt
Filed under: uncultured bacterium
Lineage: Bacteria
Description: partial 16S ribosomal RNA
Rfam family: Bacterial small subunit ribosomal RNA
Source: RNAcentral